UAAUAUCUGCUUUACGACCUGCAGUGAUU
RNAcentral lists this small RNA (29 nucleotides) under Bombyx mori (domestic silkworm). RNAcentral describes it as "ovarian small RNA-5812". Lineage: Eukaryota; Metazoa; Arthropoda; Insecta; Lepidoptera; Bombycidae. The record is from RNAcentral.